RNAcentral lists this ribosomal RNA (494 nucleotides) under uncultured bacterium. Its description in RNAcentral is "partial 16S ribosomal RNA". It matches the Rfam family "Bacterial small subunit ribosomal RNA", at positions 28 to 507 of the family's 1533-position model. The record is from RNAcentral.
GACGAACGCUGGCGGCGUGCUUAACACAUGCAAGUCGAACGGAAAGGCCUGCUUUCCCUUGUGGAUUGCGGGUACUCGAGUGGCGAACGGGUGAGUAACACGUGAGUGAUCUGCCCCCAACUUGGGUAUAAGCCUGGGAAACUGGGUCUAAUUCCCGAUAGGACUGCAGGGUGGUGCCUGUGGUGGAAAACGAUUUUCUAGUGGUUGGGGAUGAGCUCGCGGCCUAUCAGCUUGUUGGUGGGGUAAUGGCCUACCAAGGCGGCGACGGGUAGCCGGCCUGAGAGGGUGGACGGCCACAGUGGGGCUGAGAUGCGGCCCAGACUCCGACGGGAGGCAGCAGUGGGGAAGAUUGCACGAUGUGCGGAAGCCUGAUGCAGCGACGCCGCGUGGGGGAUGACGGCCUUCGGGUUGUAAACUCCUUUCGACCGCGAGGAAGCCACCUGGUUGGAAGGGUGGUGACGGUAGUGGUAGAAGAAGCACCGGCUAACUACGUG